This 352-nucleotide long non-coding RNA is filed under the name Nicotiana benthamiana. Its description in RNAcentral is "long non-coding RNA (NBEN_LNC039470)". Lineage: Eukaryota; Viridiplantae; Streptophyta; Magnoliopsida; Solanales; Solanaceae. The record is from RNAcentral.
UUACUUUACGUUUCACUUUGGGUGUUUUGAUUAUUAUGUGAAGGUUUGUUGGAGUCGUAGAAGGGAACCAAUCAGCUGAUUGUAUAUUUUUUAUCAAAUUUUGUAUGGAGAUAGUCAUACUCAUAUUUUUAGUCCCAUUUUCUGGCGGCAUGUAGAUUUUCACUUUAUCUUCUUUAUUAUUGCAGUUCUUGUUGUCUUUGUUUUCCAAUGCAGCUUUUUAUUCUGUCCUAUGCGCCGAGGGUCGCAUGGAAGCAGCCUCUCUGCCCUUUUGGGUAGGGGUAAGACUGCCUACAUAUUACCCUCCCCAGACCCCACCUGGUGGGAGUAUACUGGGUAGUUGUUGUUGUUGUUG